CAGUCGCCGCGGGAAUACGAAGGGUGCAAGCGUUAAUCGGAAUUACUGGGCGUAAAGCGUGCGUAGGCGGUUUGUUAAGUCUGUUGUGAAAUCCCCGGGCUCAACCUGGGAAUGGCAAUGGAUACUGGCAAGCUAGAGUGUGUCAGAGGAUGGUGGAAUUCCCGGUGUAGCGGUGAAAUGCGUAGAGAUCGGGAGGAACAUCAGUGGCGAAGGCGGCCAUCUGGGACAACACUGACGCUGAGGCACGAAAGCGUGGGGAGCAAACAGGAUUAGAUACCCCGGUAGUCCCUGUCUCUUAUAA
This 301-nucleotide ribosomal RNA is filed under the name uncultured bacterium. RNAcentral describes it as "partial 16S ribosomal RNA". It matches the Rfam family "Bacterial small subunit ribosomal RNA", at positions 509 to 809 of the family's 1533-position model. The record is from RNAcentral.